GAUCAUUACUGUGAUUUAGUACUACACUGCGUGAGCGGAACGAAAACAACAACACCUAAAAUGUGGAAUAUAGCAUAUAGUCGACAAGAGAAAUCUACGAAAAACAAACAAAACUUUCAACAACGGAUCUCUUGGUUCUCGCAUCGAUGAAGAGCGCAGCGAAAUGCGAUACCUAGUGUGAAUUGCAGCCAUCGUGAAUCAUCGAGUUCUUGAACGCACAUUGCGCCCCUCGGCAUUCCGGGGGGCAUGCCUGUUUGAGCGUCGUUUCCAUCUUGCGCGUGCGCAGAGUUGGGGGAGCGGAGCGGACGACGUGUAAAGAGCGUCGGAGCUGCGACUCGCCUGAAAGGGAGCGAAGCUGGCCGAGCGAACUAGACUUUUUUUCAGGGACGCUUGGCGGCCGAGAGCGAGUGUUGCGAGACAACAAAAAGCUCGACCUCAAAUCAGGUAGGAAUACCCGCU
Molecule: unclassified non-coding RNA, 459 nt
Filed under: Pichia kudriavzevii
Lineage: Eukaryota; Fungi; Ascomycota; Pichiomycetes; Pichiales; Pichiaceae
Description: sequence contains 18S rRNA gene, ITS1, 5.8S rRNA gene, ITS2, 28S rRNA gene
Rfam family: 5.8S ribosomal RNA (bases 112-264)
Source: RNAcentral